This 466-nucleotide ribosomal RNA is filed under the name uncultured bacterium. RNAcentral's name for it is "partial 16S ribosomal RNA". It matches the Rfam family "Bacterial small subunit ribosomal RNA", at positions 27 to 507 of the family's 1533-position model. The record is from RNAcentral.
GGACGAACGCUGGCGGCGUGCUUAACACAUGCAAGUCGAACGCUGAACCCGCUUCGGUGGGGGAUGAGUGGCGAACGGGUGAGUAACACGUGGGCAACCUGCCCCCGGCUCUGGGAUAACUCCAAGAAAUUGGGGCUAAUACCGGAUGUGACCGCUGGCCGCAUGGUCUGGUGGUGGAAAGGGUUUCCGGCUGGGGAUGGGCCCGCGGCCUAUCAGCUUGUUGGUGGGGUAGUGGCCUACCAAGGCGACGACGGGUAGCCGGCCUGAGAGGGUGACCGGCCACACUGGGACUGAGACACGGCCCAGACUCCUACGGGAGGCAGCAGUGGGGAAUAUUGCGCAAUGGGCGGAAGCCUGACGCAGCGACGCCGCGUGGGGGAUGACGGCCUUCGGGUUGUAAACCUCUUUCAGCAGGGACGAAGCGCAAGUGACGGUACCUGCAGAAGAAGCACCGGCCAACUACGUG